Lynx canadensis (Canada lynx) is the source of this 9533-nucleotide RNA transcript. RefSeq lists it as uncharacterized. The record is from RefSeq and is a predicted model, not a curated record. NCBI's taxonomy places the organism in Eukaryota, Metazoa, Chordata, Mammalia, Carnivora, Felidae. The transcript has 12 exons.
CAGAUCCUCUGUUUCCCGCUCCCUCUGCCCCUACACCACCACCCCCCAUCUCAAAAGUAAACAUUUCUAAAAAGAGAAAUGGGGGUUGAAGCAGGUUGCAAGGAUCUGUGGAGUAAGAGUGGGUACUGAGAGAGACAAUAAUUAUAAAUAGCUUUUUUCAAGAAAUGUGUACUCAGAAGAGUAACAAGGAGCUCAGAGGUAGGAGGGGGCUGGGAGUAAAGGCUGGAAGACAGGACACAUGGUUUAUUUCUCUGGGAAGCAUUGAGUAUGCCCAUGGCCUGGGCAAAGGAGGCAGGAGAGAGUGUGUCUAACUUAGCUUCCCGGAAGAGGUAAGAGACGAUGGGGUGGGAAGUGCCAAGGAGCGGGUGAGCUGUGAAGAGUGAUGGGUCGUCCUCUUUCCCAAAAGCAGUAGAGGAGAGGAUGGGUGAGACCUUCCUGGGUGAGGAUGGGGCAUCCCAGCUGUGGUGGCUUCUCAGCAUGGCAUGUUCUUUAAGAGAUUUUCUGUUCUAUUUACUCUCCGUAAGUGAAGUUUAUAAAAUGUCUCCUUUAGGGUUGAGGAGGUUGGAUUUCAAAGCAGUGCAUAUAGAGGAGACCUCUUCCUUCCAACUGUUCAAGGCUAGAUGGUAGAGAUCACUCUCCCAAGAGACAAUCUGUAGUCUCUCUUGUGGUUGGUGUUAUAGGUGUUAACAGACAAAAGAAUAAACAAUGUAUGUAGGAGGCUAUCUUUCUGGAAGAUUUCUGUGUUCAAGGACACUAAUUUUUCUAAAUGUUUGGAAAUCACUUCCUAAAUUCUAUCAGUGCACAGUGAGUGAGGGUAGUUCGGAAAGUGGAGGCCAUAUACAGUUCGACUCUUUCCAGCUCCCAUCUUCCUUCUCCCCUCCCCCGGCCCCGCCCCCCAACCACGCCCCUGGGCUUCUUUGCAUGUAAACUCUGUCUGCCUGGAGAUGGAUGUGGCACAGAGCUAAGCCCCUGGAAGAUGUGCUCCAGGCCUCGGGAAACACAUACUCUAUGACAGAUGGCGGCAAAUUAAGCUGGCAAUUGAAAAAGCCAGAGCGUUUCCAGGACCUCUGUUAGAGGAGUGAUUCCAGAGGGGGAGAGGCAGAGAAGACAAAUUGCUGGAAAGUGGCCAGAACCAUUUGGUGCUCGACAUUAAUUUGGUCAGUAAACAAUUCCGGAACACCUAGAUAGAAGAAGCUAUUCUGGAUUCCAUAGGCACACACGAAGAUCGGAGAGACCAACAUUUCGUCCUGUAUUUGGGAAGAUGGACAGCACACGGAGAGGUGCAUGGACAAUUCUAGGCUGGCAGAAGUCUGAACAAGGGCUUGUGUAAGGCCAAAAACACCUGCGUUCUGGAAUCAGAGAUAAGACAUGUGAGUCAAGUUUUCUGGGAGGGAAAAGGAGUGAUUUAAAUUCUCACUGAUGUCUAAGCUGCUGAUAGAUUCUGUCCCCAAAGCAGGUUUCAACUUAGAGGAGGAGGCUGGACAGGGAGAGAGCAGGAGGGCGCUGAGCUGGCCCAUUGACCACAAAGGAAAGAGCAAUGGGUGGCAGGAAAGAAGGCCUGGGGGACCCAAAGGUGCAGUUUAUCUGCUGCUCCCCUAUUUUUGUCAUGGGCCCCAUCUGAUUCUGACAUUCAACACUAAGGGAUCUCCUAAUCGUUGAUUGCACAAACCUAAACAGUCAUUUACUGCAAGCAUUCUGGAACACCAGAAGGUUGCCGUUAUUUAUUUGGUUAAAUAAGAAUGUAAAACAUAAGCAAAUAGAACAAAAAUCCUACCACAUAAAAGAAAGGAUGUUUUAAUGGUAAAAAAUUGGGAAAGAAAAUCUCAGAUAAAGGACAGCACUUUAAAUGGAUGAAUAUAGAUUUAUAGGAAAAAAUGUCUAUUUCCUUUUUCUGUGGGCCCAAGAAAAUGCUGGCAGAGCCUGGGCUCUCCCCUACCACCUGGUUUAUGGGAAUCACAUUCACCGGGAUUCUGAACUCCCACCACAGUUUCCAGUUCAUGACCCUGUGCUGCCCUCUGGUGGCCAAAAGGAGUUGCUGUAACGGCUAAAGAGGGUCUCAAAAUAUUGGGCCUCCUGGCAUCUAUGUUUAUUUAACACCCACCAUGUGCUAAGGGUGAGGACACAUAGAAAUGAGGGAUCCCUUGCUAUCAAGGAGCUUUCCUAUAACACUGAUGUGUCAAACAAAAGUUAGCAAACAUGUUUGGGUUUUGGCUUUGAAAUCAACUGGCAACCACCAUUCCCCUGCCUGUCAGAGGCCCAGGCGGGCCACUGACAUCAGCAUUAUGGAAUGCAGGUAGUCUCUCAGCGUUAGAGCAGGCCUGUGACUUGGGUCCAGGUGCCACCUAGAGCUUUAUCUCCAGCCUUGCCCUGAGCCGGGGCUUGUGGGGACUGAUGAAGCUGGUAGGUGGUGGCGUAGAGCAGACCUGGCCCUACCGAUUCCCCACAGGGUGUUUCUGCUCUCAGCUCUUCCUACUUACUUGGCCACCCCUCGGUCAGGCAGGCCUGCUUUUGCAUGAAGUCCUUCCAUGCCUACCCUAAAUCCACAAUGACCUCUAUGACCUCAAGACUACUGUCUACCAUCAUUUUCUCUUACUUUAUUUUUCAAGUAGGUAAGAAAUUCCCUGAUGGUUGAGGCUCUGUUUUAACAGUUUUCUAUCCAUCUCCCCUUCUCAUAUUACCUCCAGAAGCUCUCAGUUUUCUCUCUUAUUAUGCAGAGAAGCUGCCUACUCCUUUCACAUAUUAGGGCUAUGCUUAGGCCUCAUCAAAAUAUUUUCUUAUCAAAAAUGGGAAGUAGUUAAGUCAGUUUAGGCUAAGUUAUUUGGCUGUAACAAACAAGCUGCAAGUCCACAUGGCCUAGAAUAACAAAGGUUUAAUUCUUCCUAAUGCUACAUGGCCAUGGGGAUCGCUUUGGGGGGUGGGGUUGCCAGAAGUAGGAAGGAAAAAUUCAAGACACCCUCAAAUACUCAAUUUUAUUUUUAGCAUACAUAUGCCCCCCAAAAUGCAUACUAAAAUUAUUAUUAUUAUUAUUUUCUGAACUUCAAAUUUAAUUGGAAAUCCUAUAAUUUAUCUGGCGUCUCUGCUUUACGACCUCAUUCUGGACCCAGAUUAAUGGUGCCUCUACUAUCUAAACAUCACAGAAAGAAAGGGGACGUGGCCAUUUACACACUGGCUCUCAAAGUUUUCUUUUGGAAUAUACAAACAUUUCCAAUGACAUUAUUAUUAUUAUUAUUAUUACUAUUAUUGGUCAAAGUGAGUCAUUUUGUCUUUCCCAACCUCAAAGGGGUGAGGAAGGGCAAUCCUGUUAUGUGCACAGAAUGAGAGAACUCCAGGCUAUUUGUGAAAAGUUCAAAUCCCUGCCCUAGUUACGUAUUCUGGUAAGAGCUACUAAGAAAAUACUACAUUCUCCAUCUCAUUACGAUAAAUUAUAUCAACUGUAAUAUUUAUCCUUGUGAUUUCUAUCUAAUGGCUUCCUAUUGAUUUCUAGUAAGCAGAGAAAGCUUUUCUUACCCAUUUAAAUAUGGGGAGAUAACUAAAUGCUCCCUGUCAACUUUUCUUCUCUGCAUUAAACACCUUCCCAUGCACCCCCUCCCCUACUUUCUUCCUAUGAUGUAACUUCCAACCCUUUACCAUCUGGUCACUAUCUACUUGGUUAUAUCUGACUGUUAUGUGAAUGUGAUGGGAAAAAAAAUAGAAAAGGGGGUUUCUUUUAGGGAUAAGUCAAAGAUGACUGUUUGUGUAACCCUUUAUCUUUGUUCACUGGCACCACCUACAAAAGAGCAGCAGUUUUUCAACCCUCGGCAACAACAGAAUCACCUGCAGAAACAAAGUGGUGAGGUCCAGGCUUCUCCACCAGCGACUCUGAUUCAACUGGCCUUGCCUGGGCCUGGGUAUCUGUACUGUUUUGCAGUUUUGUUAUCUAUAGCUACAUAACAAACCAACCCCAAAUUGAGGAACUUAAAGCAAAAAUAGUCAUUUUACUAUUAUCUUUCCUGGUCCUGGAGGCCGACUAGAAUCAAAUACAUAAAAAACAAAUGAACAUUUUAAGAGAAUUUUAUGGGCAAACACAAGCCACCAGCUUGGAGUAAAAGAGACUGAACCCAUUUGGUAUUUAAAGCAAACUUUGGCUCCCCCAAUAUUUUAUAGGUAGGGGGGAGGCUGAGGGCUCUGCUUAGCACCCAAGGAGACCAUAUUCCUUCUUAGAUUAGGCAAAGGAGGAUUGUGAAAAAGUGCACCUCUCAGUGGGCAGAACCAAGGACCACGGAGAAGAGUGGACUGGGGAGUUUCUGUUGGGGAAAAGAAUCGGGGUGCUAAAUGUGCCCCACCCUUAGGACAAGGGGCUGCUCACCAUACCUGCCCAGUGGGUCUUCAGAUUUACUGGGUGGGGGGGGUCAGUGACUGGUAAAUGACUUCCCAUGCAUCCACUUCCCAAUGGGAGUGUUAAUUGUGUCCCUGUCCCUAACUGAAUAUUGAGUUUGUGUGUGGGAGCAAGUGACUUAAUUUUUCAGGUGUCCCCCAUCUAAAGGAAGCAAGCACAUCCAAACCUUCUAUAGCGGUGCUUGUGCCUUAUGCACCAGUCCUGGACUUUGAGCUCAGAGCAGCACCUGCAGGGGAAUUGGGGUUUGUCUCCCUUGGGGAGGGAUAAGUGUCCUCUUAGAUGGGCAGGGGAGGGAAAUGCGUGUUUGGUGUGCAGAGUACAGACUAUGGUGGAUUAUGUUAAUAUUUACCAAAUAUUGUGGCACCUUUCUCUGCAGGGCCUCUCCCUGCGGUGGGAGGGCUCUACAUCCUGGUCCUUUUGUGUUCAGUGUUACAUUUGACUUGCUUUGACCAAUGACAUGUGAGUGUCAGAGGUGACAGGAGCCACUUUUGAGCAGAAGGGUUAAGAAUCAUGGUGUUCACCUUUCCCUCUGCGAUGACACCUGACAAUGUUCCAGAUAGAAGCUGCUUUCCCAUUCGCUGUGCUGGAAUAAAGAUGGCACAGAACAAAGCCACAGCCAGCCCAUAAUGAAUGCAGCAUAUGAAAAAUUAAACUUAUGUUGUAAGACCCUGGAUGAUAAUAUUAAUGGAGAGGGCUUGGGCACCCUGACAGCCCUGAUGAGCCUUGGGUCCCUCUUGCAUGAUGGCCUUUCAACCGCCCAAUUUUCUUGUCCUCUCUGAGGAAGACUCAUUCCCUUCACACUGAUGCCUGCCAUCAACAGUGGGUGAUAGAGAGCCUCCUGGAGAGUGCCAGUCUCCAGAGAGCCUCCUGUUGACAGUUUUCAUCUCUGUAGAGCAGAGAAUGUGGGAAGAUCUUUGGUAUUCUAGGUUCUGGGCUAAUGAAAGCUUGCUGGACAUAGUCAGGUAUUUCAAGAUGGUGGCCAUUCAGAGGGUCCUUUGGUCCUUACUUGCUGGGGUUUUCUGUUGCCCUGGUGACAUCUCAGUCUUGGCUUUCUCAUUACAUGAUGAAGACAUUGGUGGUGACAAUGGAAAGGAUGAGAAGAUGAAAGAGGUCAUACCAUACCUGGUUCUAUGCAGCAGAACUGAGGCUCAAGUAUUGAGCGCUGUGAUUUGCCUUUGUGCAGCCCUUUGUGUUGUGAGAUGACCAGAUGACAUAUUCGUAUAUUGAUGAUUUUGAAUGUGUGCAUGGCUGAGAUCAUACCAAUUAAUUUUCAUGCAGAAGUCAAGGUGCCAUUCACCUCCUCACCACCACCCCCUCUCAACUAGAACAGCAGCCAUAACCGAGGGUCAUUAAAUCUGGUUUUGACUCAGGGACAAGAUAGACCAGGCACUGGCCUACAAAUGUGGACACUAACAGCUCCUGAUAGAACCAGGGUGGAAACUGAGGUGGCAAGAAAGGAUGCUGGUGUCCGUAGGCUUCUGAAAGGCAUGUUCUCAGCUGCUGAUGCAAACACCGGGGUGUCAAUGUGUCCAUCAGGAGACACCUGGUACAGUGGGAAGAACAAAGAAUCUGGAGACUAAAGCACCCAGACUUACAUCCCAGCUGAAGGUGUGUGGCCACAUUAUUCCAUGUCUCUGAACUUCGCUUUCCUCCAGGGAUGUCUUACAGAUUUAAAGAGCUGAAUGCAUCUUCAGGGACACAGUGCCCUCAAUGACACCCUCUGUCUCCUGUACUUCAUCAGGACCCCAGUGACCUGAAAAGUCAGGCUCCAAGCUGUCCAAGGAAUCAAAGAAUUCUUGUGUGAUUGCAGGAGGAAAAAGAAUUUGAAACACAUUCUCUCCUAAUCCCUCUUCAUCUGAGCUAAUUUCCAAAUGGAAAAAGUAAUCAAUUGAAGUUAUAUAUAUAGCUUAUUCAAAGAGCUGAAUGAGUGGCUGGAAACAAUUCCCCAAACUAUGGUUUCCACUGAAUAAUUGAAAUUAUGCUGGGGCAUGGAAAUUUUUCAGCAAAUAAAAUAUGCCUGAAAAUCUAUUAAAGAUAUGUCUGCAAAAAUCAUUUGCAAAAGCCCAACUCAGCAAUAAAAAAUAAAUUACAUUUCUGUUCUUGCUGUUGUUCCCUUUGGGAAAGAGCAUAUUACUACUACUUUGUGGACAAAUGGAACCAGUGAAUUUUGGAAUGAAGAACUCUACAAGUUCUAACCAUGAGGUUUAGACAUUAGGUGAUAAUUCUACACUGAAAAGUAAACAGGGAAAAAUUUCCCUGAUUUAAUGUUGCUCAGGAGCAGAACAUGUGUGGAAGACACUAUUGCUGCCAACCAAUACUUCCUGCUUUCCUGCCUUUAGACAACCAGUAUGAUUUUACUUCCCCAGCCUCUGAAGACGGAUGUUCCAUGUGAUCUUUGUGGUCAAUGAAAUAAGAGAAUCUAUUGUAAGCCAAACAUCAAUCCCCGAAUCUAAAAUUUAGGACUGCACUUUAUGGAAAUUGAGCCUGUAUUGUUCUUCUCAACACCAGCCAAGAAUCUCCACACUGCAGAACAACCCAGGGGCUGAUCUGGCUUGCAAGAAUUCUUCCUCCUUAGAUGCCUGAGUUCUCCUUCUCCAGAGUUUGGCAAAAUCAGACAUGAGCCUAUAGAGAGACAUGUUGAAUGGCAAGUACAAGGGCCAGAGGAGGAUCUGGAUUGCCCUCUGCAGGCAGAUGGCCUCUCAGGUUUUCUACUGAAGCCUCAAAGCUGAAAACAACAUGACCUGAUUACUCCCACCACCUUUUUUGAAAUGUUUAUUUUAGAGAGAGAGACAGACACAGAGAGACAGAGAGACAGAGAGAGAGAGAGGGAGACACAGAAUCCGAAACAGGUUCCAGGCUCUGAGCUGUCAGCACAGAGCCUAACAACUCCCAGUCUUAAGUGCUCACCAAAGAGUUGUCAUAUGGAGGUGCCCCCAUGUAGCCCUCACAUAGCCCCAGUGUGGGACACCUGUCCCAUCAAGGCUGUUGCAUCAAGGCUAUUGCUGGUUAAAGGGGGACAGCAUGAGUUAUGUAAGAGGACCCCCUUCCCUCAUGGCUCUGCCCAGACCUCAGCUCUUAAGAAGCAAGAGAGACCAGGUACAGGGAGAUGGACAGUGGAGAAGAGGACUGAAGCUGUUUCUCUGUUUCUCUGUGGUCAGUUCUGACUGGGAGAAGGGGAAAACCUUUAUAUUUCAUGGGCAGGACUUCCUCUGUCCUUAAAGGAACCUAGAAGUGCGUACUUGUGGCUAAUGCAAGAAGGCACCCAUCAUCUCCCUACCAGCAUCGCCAACAUCACCACCAUCAGCAUCACCUUCACCACCAUCACCAUCAUAAGCAUAAGCAUCAUCACCACCACCACCACCACCACCACCAGCAUCUCCACCACUGUCACCAUCGUCAUCAUCGCCAAAAUCACCAGCAUCAUUACCAUUAUCACCAUCAUCUUUAUCUCAUCAUCAUCACCACCACCACUACCACCAUCAUCAUCAUCAUUGACAUCACCACCACAAUCACCAGCAUCAGCAUUAUCUUUACCAUUAUCACUAGCAUCAUCAUUGCUAUCACCACCACCAGCAUCACCUUCACCGUCACCAUCAUCAUCAUCAACAUCACAGCAUCAUCACCAUUAUCACCAUCAUCUUUAUCACCAGCAGCAGCAGCAGCAGCAGCAUCACUGCCAGCAUCAUCUCCACCACUUCAUCAUCAACAUCACCAGCAUUAUCUUCACCAUUAUCACUAUCAUCUUGAUCACUACCACCACCAUUAUCAUCAUUACCAUCAGCACCACUAUCAUCUUUCUCUUCCUCUCCUCCUCUUCCCACUGCUCCUCCUCCCCUUUUUCUACCCUCCUCCCCUUCCUUCUUCUCCUUCAUCAUUUUCAUCAUCAUUCUCAUUCUCAUUUCAACAUGCAGUGUUUAGAGAUAUGGGAGCUAUAUGGAUACUGAGGUACAUGAGAGCAGAAGAGAUGAUGUUAAAAAUUGGUGGAAUACAUUUAGGACUUUUUCCUGAAUUAUUUUAAUCUCUAGGGCUUAUUUAACUCCCUGAUGUGGAAACAUGACCUGUGAGACAAUCUUGAUGUAACAGCUUUUCUUUCAGUCUGAUAAAUUACAUUUUUUUUCCAAAAUAGCAUUAAUAAAGACAAGCCAGAGAUAGUAUUUUUUACUCAUCUGCCUUUAUAUUUGUCAAACUCACACCUGCUUAAUGUGUAAAGGUCAGGCUUUUAGACAGAAAUCUCACAUGGAUCUCCCUGAAUUAUGUAGAAGUUUACCUGGCUGGAUAAUUUGCAUGACUUUUUAUAGAAACUGUAGAGAACACGUUCCAAAUCAUAAUAUACACAUUGGUGUUUAUAUUUUCUCCUUUGAAGAGGGCAAUAACCCUGAGAAAGAUGUCAGUACUGAUACCACGGAGCAGACCCUGAGUAAGAGCACCUGGUGUCUCCAGUGAUUGAAAUGAUAUAUUAAUGAGUUCUUAUUCUCAGUGACAUUUUACCAGGAACCAAUUAACCACAGUAAUUACAUCUCAUCCAUUGCAUGCUCUGAAAUGUGAAGUGCAUGGGUAUUGGGUUGCUGUGUUUGUUGAGCAUUUUUUUCCCAUGUGACAAACCUUUAAGCAUUAAAACUUUGAGUCAUUUAUUAUGUUUCUUUUGCCUUCUGGGUGUCACAGCAUGAAGGAAAAUCUUGUAAAGGAUAGUUUUAUAACCACACAGAUACUGAUGCGUGUAAAUGAGUAUAGCCAAUGCUAGAAAGCCUCACCAUAGCUGUGCUUCAAAGGGUGGCAGAAAAUACAGUGGGGAGAGGGCACAUUGAUAAGAACAGAAAGAGUUAAACCUUCAUGGUAAAAACAGAUGGCUUAGGGAAUGAGAGAUUGAAUAAAGGGUCCUGAUUAGUUGACUCUUCUAGAUAAUGGGGUGAGUGCUGAUAAAUGCAAAACUUUUUUCAUUGUCAUUUCAAAACUGUUUAGAAAAAUUCAAAAAUAUCGCAGUUUGAAUUUCUAAAGUAAAUAACCUUUCUAUACUUCACUUCCCUCACUAUAAAAUUUGGAUAAUAAGUGUACUUGACUAAUAAGUUUGUUGUGAAGACAAGUAAGUUAAAAUAGGUACAAGUACUUAGCAUGUACUGAGUGUAUUGUAAAUGCUCAAUAAAUGCCAGUUAUUAUUUUA